Molecule: long non-coding RNA, 317 nt
Organism: Otolemur garnettii (small-eared galago)
Lineage: Eukaryota; Metazoa; Chordata; Mammalia; Primates; Galagidae
Exons: 3
Source: RefSeq, a predicted model, not a curated record
GAGACAGGAGCGAGAGGUGGAAAAAAAGGAGAAGCUUCUUGAAGGUGGAGUGGGAGGGAGAAGUCGAGUUUGCUACCGGAGUGACAAGCAAAGUGGUAGACGUUAACAAGGAAAGAUGUUGCGAAAAGACAGGGCAGGCUCUGCUGUGGCUUCUUACACACCCAUGCACAGGACUCCCAGACUGCUUCACAUGGAUUGAAACACUCCAGUCUACCCCAUUUAUUAAAAAAUCUGAAGAGAUCUGCUAAACCCACAUUGGAAUCCAGGUGCUGGAUUUAUUUUCAUGCUAGAUCCCCUCAUGGCAGCAUAAAUGCACC